Molecule: unclassified non-coding RNA, 21 nt
Filed under: Dictyostelium discoideum
Lineage: Eukaryota; Evosea; Eumycetozoa; Dictyosteliales; Dictyosteliaceae
Source: RNAcentral
CAAACAAUCAGUAGAGUCGAU